This 253-nucleotide ribosomal RNA is filed under the name uncultured bacterium. RNAcentral describes it as "partial 16S ribosomal RNA". It matches the Rfam family "Bacterial small subunit ribosomal RNA", at positions 524 to 776 of the family's 1533-position model. The record is from RNAcentral.
UACGUAGGGUGCAGGCGUUAAUCGGAAUUACUGGGCGUAAAGCGUGCGCAGGCGGCUCCUUAAGUCAGAUGUGAAAGCCCCGGGCUUAACCUGGGAACUGCGUUUGAAACUGGGGAGCUAGAGUGUAGAAGAGGGGGGUGGAAUUCCAGGUGUAGCAGCGAAAUGCGUAGAGAUCUGGAGGAACACCGAUGGCGAAGGCAGCCCCCUGGGCUAACACUGACGCUCAUGCACGAAAGCGUGGGGAGCAAACAGG